CGGGCUGUGGCGCAGUUGGUAGCGCGCGUGCAUGGGGUGCAUGAGGCCGGGAGUUCGAGUCUCCCCAGCCCGA
Molecule: non-coding RNA, 73 nt
Organism: Candidatus Buchananbacteria bacterium
Lineage: Bacteria; Candidatus Buchananiibacteriota
Source: Rfam